CAACAGCAACAGGUUUUGAUAAUCAAUACAUUAGCAUCACAACAAUAUCCCUACCUACAACCCCAAGACAUCUCAAGAUCAUUAAUGAAUAAUGUACUUAACCAAUCAGACACAUCGACAGUCAGUGAUAAUAAUGUACUUAACCAGUCCGACCCAUCACCUUUUCUUCAGCCAGCACUUAAUCGCCCCGGUUCGUCAGGGGGUCGAAACACCCACGUCCGUCCCUCUCUUAAACGGUUAUCCGACUUAGAGUCUCUCUCCCCCUCUAAGAAAAAAUAAGUGAUGAUGGUGGUAGUGGUGAUGGUGGUGAAGGUAGGGGUGAUGGUGGUGGUAAUAAUGUUGAUGGUGAUGGGGAAUUUUCGGUUGAAACAACUCGAGCUAGCCACGGAGCUGACAACUAAAUAUUAGAAAGAAAAUAAACGUAUAUAAACACAAAAAUGAGACACUGCAUACUCAUCUGUAGAUGAUAUUUUUAUAGCAAUUGUUCCUUUGAUGUUUAUCAGCUUAGAAAUAUAAUUAAAUUUAUAUUCUAUUGCUGUAGAUGUUGGCUUUUUUAAAUGUAUCAUCGCUCUCCUAAUUACACCAUCAAAUAUUGAGCAAUUGUAUGAGGAAAAUACGCUAUACAAUUAUGAGGAUGGUGUAUGGAUAAAUAUAUGUAAAUAUAAUGAAAGUAUGUUAAGCACUAAUAUAGAAAAAAAUGCUUAUUUAGUAUUAGAAAUUGUAUUUUUAAAAAUCAUCUUUAUAAAAUAUCACACACAACACGGGCACAAACACUAUAUCUUGUACAAGGAGUGCCAGUAGCUGUUGAAGGAAACAACUGCAAUAUUCUAGAUGGUGGUGAUGAGGAUGAUGACGACGACGAUAAUGAAGAGGAGGUUAUUAAUGGCUAUAGAAAGAUGAUAGAAGAGAAAAAAUAUGAUAACGUUGACGACAAUGGCGACGAUGAUAACGACGAGAUGAUGAUAGUGAUAACGACGAUGACGAUGAAUUAAGGACUUACAGUCGUGGCAUCCACUAAGCCGCUGGUGACGAACGGAGAUGGCGAAUAGUUAUUCAUCCCACACAUCGACCUCUGCAACUGCAUUUCGAUCAACAGCUAUACCAUUAUAUAAAGUGUGUGAUUAUGUAUACACCCAAUGCUUAUUUAGUAAUUAUCACAUAUAAGUAUGAAGUUUUUUUUUGUAGUAAACAGUUACAAUAGUCUAUUGUGUAAUAGAUACUUACGUGUACUAUAACUGGUAAGAUAUAAAUUGAUUAUACAGUAUACGUAUAUGUAUUUAUAUGUUUAGGAUUAUAUUUAGAUUGUAUACUAAUAUACGUAACAUAUGUGUAAAAUAGUUGAUAAGUAUGAUGACCUUACAUUGUAUAUCUAAAAUUCUAUAUUUACUUUACAUUAUAUAUUUUGAAUUCUUUAUAUUUACCUUGCAUUAUGAAUGGCAAAACACUCUUACGUGUUGAUACUAUGGUAGAAAAACCCAGCGCAAAAAUUACAUUUAUUGAAAAUGAGACUUCAGUUUCGAAAUUUACAUGGAUUCCAUGCUCAGGUAGAUUUCGAAACAAUUUUUGCAUUGUGGGUUUUUCUACCUUACAUUAUAUGUUUAAAAAUAUAUAUAUAUAUAAUAUAUAUUGAUAUAUGUAACACAUAUGUGUACUAUAGUUA
Molecule: long non-coding RNA, 1660 nt
Organism: Penaeus indicus
Lineage: Eukaryota; Metazoa; Arthropoda; Malacostraca; Decapoda; Penaeidae
Exons: 4
Source: RefSeq, a predicted model, not a curated record